GAGUGGCUGGGCAAGUGGAGUCUGAGAUGAGCUACUGAGAUAAAUCUGGUUCCUACAGGGCUGAGAUCAUGUUUUCCAGCAGCAAUCCCAGGUCUGGGUGGAAACCCGGAGGUUUUCAGGAAGCCUGGAGGAGGCUGGCUUAGAAUGAGCUGCUGCAUUGGCUGUGCAGACGUGACCCUCAGGACUUCAUCUGAACCUGUGAAGAGUUUCCAUGCAGGGAAGGGGGGAUGAGUAGAGCUAGGGACCUAAAAUUUGAGAGGGGAAGAUAUUCCCCAGUGGAAGACAGUAAAUCAAAGACUAGAGACCAAGCAUCAGUCUACUGGGUGUUUGCUACACCUCUGAAGAGCUAAGGUUUUCCCUCCUGUUACAGUAAUGGACACUCAACAACACGUACCCUUCCCAGCAACCUGUCCCGCUGGAAAACUACUCGAUAAGGUAACUUCUGCCUGAAGGGGACCAGGGUCAUCAUACCCGCAAGUGCAGCAUCUUCCUGCAGCUCUCAUACUACCAAGCUGGGGUUUUUCCAACAUAAACAUUACAGGGGCUAAACGAGAGGUGGCUUCCUUUCUCAAUAAGCUGUUCUCUCUCUCGGAUGCCCUUGACAGAGCCCUGCAGCCUCCCCCACUGGGGCUUGGUGGAUAGGUGGUCGCUUCUCCUCCGAAUUUCAGGAAUGUUUAGGUUUGCACAGGUCCUGCAGGCGAGCUUGGAGAAGGAUUAGAAAAAUGCUCAUUCUUAAUCAGUUCGGGCUUGUCUUUAUGCCAGCGAGGUUGACCUUGGGGACAGAAGGGUGGCCAGGACAAGGACAAGCAUCCUGGUACUGGGGAAUUCUCUGAUAUGGGGCUGGGACGUCAAGAUGGGCCAUGAUGGCCCCUGGGGAUAGGGCUUCUCUGCAGUGGAAGCAGAAGCAUCCCGGUGUUUUCUGCUGUGUCACUGCCCUCAGAGGGAUGUAUAAAGCUGCUUGGGGGCUCAUAGGAGAGGGAUGAAACCAAGAGUUUGGCUUUCCAGCAACAGCGGACAAAGAGUGGGAAGGGGUACUCUAUGCCCCAGGUCUGCAACAUCUUGCCCUAUGCGCUAGGUUUUCCCAAAGGUCCUUUGGCUCCAAGAAUUUUACAGCAGAACAAAGGGAUCGAUACCCCCAAGGGGGCAUAAAAGCAUGCCAAUGAGAAUACCCGCCGCCGACCGGGCACCAAGAAAGUCCUCGGUGGCUGGGUCACGUGCAGAUAUUGUUGCCUGGGGUCUAGACUGGCGUGAGUCUCAAUUGGUUUCUACGGGACAACUCACUGCGGGCUACCCCUCCCGAGCCCUAGCUCCGGGCUACCGCCCUGGGUGGGUUUGGCAAUUGUCCUGCUCGAGGUGGUUCAGGCCGCCCACAAGGGGCACAGCCGGGCAGUCAGGAACCGGGGCUGCCGGCUGGGCUGGCCUGCAAAGAAGAGGGAAGGGCCGGAACUGCAACCGCAGUGGCGGGGAGUGCGAGGGGGCGGCAGGUGCAGGAGCGGGAGGCGGGGCGGAGCUGGGCAGAGUCCUCGCCAGUCCGGCGUCCCGGAGUGACCUUCCCCCCCACCGCCAGCGCCCAGGAGGGGUGGACCCACAGCCCAGGGAGGCCGAAAGCGCGGGCGGGCAGGCAGGCGUGGAGGCUGGGCCAGGACUGCCGGGCUGGGGUCCUCGAGGCUCCGGGCGACCCAGGUGCGGAUCCCCCAGCCACGGAAGGGGCGGUUCACGCCCAGCCGGGAGCUGGGAGGGGGCUGCGCGGCGCUGCCUGCGCGUCCCUCACCGCCGCCCCCGCCUCCUCCUCGGCCCGCG
This 1800-nucleotide long non-coding RNA is filed under the name Pan troglodytes (chimpanzee). RNAcentral describes it as "long non-coding RNA NONPTRT000541". The record is from RNAcentral. Lineage: Eukaryota; Metazoa; Chordata; Mammalia; Primates; Hominidae.